Molecule: ribosomal RNA, 478 nt
Filed under: uncultured bacterium
Lineage: Bacteria
Description: partial 16S ribosomal RNA
Rfam family: Bacterial small subunit ribosomal RNA
Source: RNAcentral
GACGAACGCUGGCGGCGUGCUUAACACAUGCAAGUCGAACGGUAGGGCCCUUCGGGGUACACGAGCGGCGAACGGGUGAGUAACACGUGGGUGAUCUGCCCUGCACUUCGGGAUAAGCCUGGGAAACUGGGUCUAAUACCGGAUAGGACCACUGCCUGCAUGGGUGGUGGUGGAAAGCUUUUGCGGUGUGGGAUGGGCCCGCGGCCUAUCAGCUUGUUGGUGGGGUGAUGGCCUACCAAGGCGACGACGGGUAGCCGGCCUGAGAGGGUGACCGGCCACACUGGGACUGAGAUACGGCCCAGACUCCUACGGGAGGCAGCAGUGGGGAAUAUUGCACAGUGGGCGCAAGCCUGAUGCAGCGACGCCGCGUGAGGGAUGACGGCCUUCGGGUUGUAAACCUCUUUCAGCACCGACGAAGCGCAAGUGACGGUAGGUGCAGAAGAAGGACCGGCCAACUACGUGCCAGCCGCCGCAGUAA